Nitrococcus mobilis Nb-231 is the source of this 176-nucleotide non-coding RNA. NCBI's taxonomy places the organism in Bacteria, Pseudomonadati, Pseudomonadota, Gammaproteobacteria, Chromatiales, Ectothiorhodospiraceae. The record is from Rfam.
UGACCGGAAACGGAGUGUCUGAAGGAAGCAUGAGGCAGAACCCGUGUACGUAGCGAACAGCGAACCGGCUAUAUGGUGUUGGGGAUGAGGUCGAGCCGACGUGACUAGGCGAGGCCUGAUAUCCGGAGAACUGAACCGACAUGAAGCCGGACGGGAUACGGGGAGGUGGUGCGUCU